RNAcentral lists this ribosomal RNA (497 nucleotides) under uncultured bacterium. RNAcentral's name for it is "partial 16S ribosomal RNA". It matches the Rfam family "Bacterial small subunit ribosomal RNA", at positions 28 to 507 of the family's 1533-position model. The record is from RNAcentral.
GACGAACGCUGGCGGCGUGCCUAAUACAUGCAAGUUGAGCGCUGAAGGUUGGUAUUUGUACCAACUGGAUGAGCAGCGAACGGGUGAGUAACGCGUGGGGAAUCUGCCUUUGAGCGGGGGACAACAUUUGGAAACGAAUGCUAAUACCGCAUAAAAACUUUAAACACAAGUUUUAAGUUUGAAAGAUGCAAUUGCAUCACUCAAAGAUGAUCCCGCGUUGUAUUAGCUAGUUGGUGAGGUAAAGGCUCACCAAGGCGAUGAUACAUAGCCGACCUGAGAGGGUGAUCGGCCACAUUGGGACUGAGACACGGCCCAAACUCCUACGGGAGGCAGCAGUAGGGAAUCUUCGGCAAUGGACGAAAGUCUGACCGAGCAACGCCGCGUGAGUGAAGAAGGUUUUCGGAUCGUAAAACUCUGUUGGUAGAGAAGAACGUUGGUGAGAGUGGAAAGCUCAUCAAGUGACGGUAACUACCCAGAAAGGGACGGCUAACUACGUG